UUGGCAGCACCGAGGGCAGAAAAUGGCAGCGCACGGACAAACAGACAGCUCUUCUCUCCUCUCGGUUAAAUCUUUCCAACUUAUGUUUUACUUUCGGUUUAAUUUUUCCAAACUUCUCUUUUAUUUCUGUUUUUAAUAAUGUGUAAUUAAAUUUAUGUUGGUUAGAGGUUAAUUCGAAACCAUGAUUAUAUUUGUAAUAUGAAUUGAUUACCUUCAGUUGUGAUUUAUAAGUUGUGAAUUCAAUUUACUUAUCCGUUCGUAUAAAAACUGAUUUGUGUAUGUUGGUUGAGAGUGCACGCUUAAUUUACAUGCAUGAAUUUGAUGCUAGAAUAUAAGUGAAUUUCACCUAAUCGUUAUGAACUUAUUUUCACAAGUAGUAAAGGUUGCUAGUCACAAUCACGUUAAGUAAAUUCUUGGCAAGAGUAUCAUGUUUUUCAUAGUUACGAAUGCCUCGUCAAUGCUUAUAGUUUUCACAAAGUUUAAUGAUCUUUGAUUGUAUCUCUAUUGUGCUUUUCACGUAGGGGACUUUUGAAGAAUGUUUUGAAUUGUUGUAUGCGUUUUCCCGUCCAAUUCAAUAACUUAAGGAAAACUUGAAGAUUAAAAAAGUGCUGUUCACGGUUAAUCUGGAGUAUUGAAAUUUUACAAUUUAUUAAAAGAACAACUGGAAAUCAUUUUGUAUGCAAGUAUAACAUGUGUGGAGAAGAACCCUCUAGCUAGUCCGUCAUUUAUCAUUUUACCUUAAUUUUAUGUUUUUGUCAAUUCUGUAAUUUAAUUAAGUUUAAUUUACUUUUCAUCAAAACCAAACACCCAUCCAUUAUUAAAUUAUAUUAUUUAGUUAGUUUUCUUUAUUGUUAGUCUUUUAAUUUAAUUUCCGUCCAUUUCAGUUCCUAGUGUUUAAUUUAAUUGUUUUCAUUAUUUUGAGUCAUUUUAAGUGUGUUUCGAGUUAUUAGAGUUUUUAGCCUAAUUUUGUGUCCUUGAGUCUUAUUUAAUAUUUUUAAAUUAAUUUAGAAUAGAUUAGCAAUCCCUCCUAAUCCCCGGCCUAGAACGAUACCCUACUUACAUCCAUACUACAAUUGUCAAAAAGAGGGUUUAAUUUGUGUGUCAAGUAAUUUUCACAUCAAAUUUUGGCGCCGUUGCCGGGGAUUAGCAACUUUGCUAAUCCUUUUAUUUUUGUUUUUGUUUAUGUUUAUAUUGGUGUUUGUGUAUUUUACUUUUGAUAUUUGAUUUAUUUUUCUUUCUUUGAUUUUAGGUUCAAAUGGAGCCGAGGGAAAUUUAAAGGAAAGAUGCGUCCGGCUAAAGAUGUUAAAUCAAGCGCUUCUUGGGAGGCAACCCAAGCAUUCAACGAAGGGAGACUUUGGAAUCGUUAACCCAAUCAGAUUUGCAUUUUUACACCCUUAUCUUUAAUGCUUUCAUUUUGUCUUGUUUAGUUAGUUGUGUUAUUUGUUUGAUUUCUGUGAGUUUGUGUUAUUUAGUUUAAGUGUGGGGGAAGGUUAACCAAAGUCUCUUUACAUUAAUUUACAUUUAUAAAAAAAAAAAAAAAAAAAAAAAAAAAAAAAGAUAAAAUUUAAAAUUAAUGAUAAAAAAAAAAAAAAAAAAAAAAAAAAGAAAGUACAAAUAUUUUACAAUGAUGUAAACUAAUAGUAUUCAUUGGUCGGGCGGGGCUUCAGCAGUCGGCGGGGCCACAGAAGGAGGAGGCGGCAGAGGUUGAUCAGUUGGAGCUUCACUACGCGGUGCCGCUCCAGAAGACGAAGGCAGAUGUUGUUGGAACAAACCCACAAACCUCCGAUGAUCAAGUAAAAUUUGACCAUCGGUGUCCUGCAUCUGGUCAAUCUUCCUCUUCAUGCUGGUGGCAUAGCUGUGUGCGAGCUUGUGCAAUUCCUUAUUCUCAUGCUUGAGCCCUUUAAUCUCUUGCUUGAGACUCUGUAUUUCAGCCACCAAGGAUUCAACGUGACGGGUUCGGGCAUAUAGGCGUUGGGCCAUGUUGGAUACGGAACCCGCACACUGCACACUGAGAGCCAGAGACUCCUUGACCGCCAAUUCAUCAGACCGCCUUGCGAGCAGUCUGUUAUCUCUGGGAGUGACAAGGUUUCGGGCCACCACCGCAGCGGUCAUGUCAUUUUUCAUCAUCGAAUCCCCCACGGUAAGGGGACCGGUAGGGGAUAUGAAGGAUGGCCGCCAUAUGUUGUCUGGUGAAGGCGGAGCUGCCUCUUCACCAAUGUUCAAGUCAAAACGACGAUCAGAAGGGCCAGACAUUUUUCAGAGGUGGUAAAGAAAGAAGAGAGUUGGACUGAUCAAGAUUAAACAAGUGCAAGAUGGGAGUGUUUACAGGAGGGUACUCAAGUGUGUUGUGGAACAAAAAAAUUAACGCCUCUAUAAAAAAGAAGAAAUCAAAGAGGCGCUCCUCAGAGAAGCGUCCUCUCGCAAAUCGAAGAGUCGGGGCUCCUUUCUCAAAAGCCGGAUUCUUUUCUCAAAAGAGGAGUUUCCGUUCUCAAAAGCCGGAUUCUUUUCUCAAAAGAGGCGUUCAUUUCUUAAAAGUUGGGCUUGCUCAGAAACCACGAGCCGAACCCCGGAUUUCGCAAGAUCAAAUUCGUCCAGACGUGUUUGUCACCCGUCACACGCAAACUCAGCUCUCUGCGAAAAUCACGGGCAGUCUGUCGAAGUGCCGAUUCCAACCAUCUGUCUCUCUCAGCCUAGUCAGCACUUGUCACAUGCAACUGGCAGCUUUGCGGAAAUUACGGGCAGCUUUGUCAGAAAGCGCGUAAUUUGUAUUCUUCACCCAUCCACCGGCUGCCGACACUAAGUGAGAGAACAGUUCCGGUUGUGAAGACAAGUCCUAUAAGUUUCUACCUUCGCCUUCCACAGCAAAAACACACUCUCUCAGCACACCCUCUCAACACCUCUUCAUCUCCGAAAAUGCAUUCCCAAAGAAUCCUCUCGAGUCACUCUGUGUUCCUCAUUCCUUGGGAUACUCCUGCGAACAACCCAUUCAAAGCAAAAGUAUUUCAUAUCAUAAAGGUUGAAAGCAAGAGUAUCUCAUAUCAUGCUUUCUCCAUGUCCUUCUCCUUGUCUUUGUUUUCCGACAAGGAGAAAGAGAGCAAUCAGCCAGCAUUUGGUAUCAAUCUUCCAAUCUGGAGCCAACUGCCUGGAACCCUUUCCUGAUUGCUUACCUAGCCUUGCUCUCGAGUACUCAUCUUCAUCAUUUUAUGCUUUCUCUUCGUCUACCACAUCUGCCUGGGGACAGUAAGGGAAGUGAAAAUGAUACCUCGAAGCAUGUGGAGACAAUUCAGCUAGGGACAAGGAGAAAGAAAGCAAGAGGUGGGCACUUGGAAAGAUUGAAGAAAGAAAUAAGGACCAACACCUUUCCCUCGUGCCUGCCCGUUGUGCAGAAGAAACAAGCAGAGAAGAAUGCAGCUUGCACAAUCAUCCCAGCGGAAGGAGUCCGAACUGAGGAACUAGAGAAGCUGCCACAUCUGCUUGGAGAACAAAUAAGGAACUGCAACAUUCCCAAAGAGCAAAGCUCCGCCGUACAAUAUCAUCAAAUAGUAAAAAGCUAAGUGUCACCCUGUUCAAGAGGAAAGCUGUGGAAAGUCAACAAGCACGACCAAUGAUUACUUAUUAGUUUUAUUCAUUAUCUUUUAUCGUAAUUUUCAAUUUUUCGUUUGCAAUUUUUUUUUUUUUUAAUUAAUUUUCUUGCGUACUUAACUGCAUUAUUUCUUUUCUUUGCAGGAACUUUUGGUUAUUUCCACCCUUGAAGUUGAUUGCAGAAUUUUAGCUUGGGGGUCAUCGCUUGAUUUUACUGCAAAUUAGGGAAGUUUUCAGUCCCAUUGUUUUAUUUUGUUUCUUAUUAUUUAUUUAUUUAUUUUAUUUUUAUUUGCGUUAUAGUGUUUUCUGACAUUGGGGACAAUGUCAAGUUUAAGUGUGGGGGUAGAAAUCUCUAGAAUUUCAUUUGUUUCUGUGUUGUUAGUUUUUGUUUUCUUAAAAAAAAAAAAAAAAAUAAAAAAAAAAAAAAAUAAAUAAUAAUAAAAAUAAAAAAAUAAAAAAAAAAUCGGAAAAUUUAAAAAUCCAAAAAUAUUGUCUUGUUUCCCUUUUUGUUCUGAAUCAGAUUUUUUUUUGUUAGUUUCCCGACCCAAUGAUAUAAUUAGAUCAAAUUUGAAUCAUGAUUAUCAAGAACUUAGUUAACAUGUGUUUUGUGAAAUUCCUAAUUCUUUUGUUAGUUUUGUACAUGUUUGAUCAUCUUUGAAAAACCAAAUGCACAUAGCCUUGUUGAUGUGAAACUAAAGCAUAACUUAAAGCUUCAUAUGUGAAUUUAGUGACCAUCCUAUGUGAGUUUUUGAGCCGAUUGAAAGUGUGUGCAUUUUUCAUACACUCCUAUUUUUUUAUGUGUGAUGAACUUAUGUGAGAUACAUCUCUAGAACUUGCGUAACGAUCUUUCGAAAUGUUUGUCAUUGAUUGCAUGAAUUUGGAAAUGAUAGAGGCAUUAGGUUUACCACUAUGGCCCAAAUAACCAUGUUUCCCAAAGAAAAAUGAUAUCAUUAGAUUGCCAAGUUGAGCCGUGUUUGUUGAGCCUUUUAUUUCUUAUCACCAGAUAUGUCUACCCUUAUACCUGAAAUAUUUUUCCUUACCAUUUCCAAGCGAGCAAUGCGAGAUUGUCUUAUGAGAAACGGUUGUGAAGUACUUUGAAGGUGUUUGGCAAAAGAAUAAGUGUGGGGGUAUUUCAUGUUUGUAUAAAAAAAAUAAAAAUAAAAAAAAUAAAAAAAAAGAAGAAAAAAAGAAAAGAAAAAGAAAGAUUGUAUACAAAGAAAAUAAAAAGUUUUUAAAGUUUCAGUUUAAGGGUGUGAUUGGAGGUAUCAGAAGAAUCGUUGUAGAGCUUGAGUUCUUAUAAAUCUAAACAAAAGAAUUGCUUGCAAUGUAGCUUGGAACUUGUGUUUUCCUAUUCUUUCGUUUCAAUAACCCUAUCCCUAAGCCUCAUUACAUCCAAUAAAAGUCCUCUUGAUUUAAGUUUUGCAAUUAUGACUGUGGAGAAGUGAUCUUUAUGCAAGCUUAUGGUAGAAAUUUCACAUUUGUUUCUUUGAGCGAAACACAUUAAAACUAAACACAUGUGUGAUUGAGUGCAUAUCCUGUGAGAAAGUCGCUAGUUUGCAUAUGAUGAUUUUAAAAAUAAAAACUUGAAAUUGCAUUAGCAUGGCUAUCUCACACACUACACUUCAAGGAUGAUUUAAAGAUUACUGCUAAUAUUUGAAUAAGGAAGAUGAACUUGGAUUAGUUCCUUGAUGCUAGCUAUGGUUCUUGAUGAUUUGUUCUCUUGAAUGAAAUUCUAUGAGGGUCACAUAGAGGGAAGCUAAUGUUUUUCAUGUUAUUACUUUUUCAUAUUUUCUUUGUUUUGCUCGAGGACUAGCAAAAGUUAAGUGUGGGGGUAUUUGAUCGGAUCAUAUUUAUAUAUAUUUUUACUUUGAAUUCACUCGUCUUUUCUUAGUUAGUUCCUUAUAUUUUUGAGCUAUUUACGUUAUUUUUGUGUUUAUAGGAUUUGUUAUGCAAAGAAAAUAAAAAUAGAACAAGUAAAAUUAUUUACUUGAUUCUGUUUUAACCACCAUAGGUAUGAACUGAGCCCAGGUAAGGUAUACAUCUAUAUCUUGCAAUGCAGAAUGUUUGAAGUUUUGGAGGUUUAGUGGUUAUCAGGAUUGGAGUGACUAUAGUUUUUAAUAUGGUAUUUUGUUUAAAAAUCUGUAUGUCUUUACAUUUCCACUUCCCGAUGCCUUUCUUUUUCUAAUUUCUACUAUGUGAUUAUCCAAAUCUACAAUUUUAUUUUAACUAAAGGUACAAUGACAUUGCUAAGUAUGGAUUUUCUGCAAUGGGGAGAUCCGCGCCAACCACAUUGGAUCCUGUCAGACAAAAUGAUGUUGGUUUGGAAAGACCUGCUGGCGUAGAAGGGGUCAUGAUUGGUAUAGGAGAGCAGGUGUAUUCAUUACUUCUUUUGACCUGUUUCUUCCUGGAGGUGGAGGGGCUGAACAAGUGAUUUCUUCAAAAAGGAAAGUAGAGGGCAGAGACCGUGAAAAACGGAAGGAGAAUAAAAAAAUAAAUAAAAGAAGAGAGGAACGCGGAAAGGGGGCGAGAGGGAAACGGAGAGGAGGGAGUCCAGAGGAAAGCUGCCAUUUGGCAGCUUGAUGAGGGGGGAUAAGAAAAAGGUCAGGGAGAGCAGAAAGAGGACAGAGGGAUAGACACGGGAAGAAGAGAGGAACGCGGAAAGGGGGCGAGAGGGAAACGGAGAGGAGGGAGUCCAGAGGAAAGCUGCCAAAGCUGCCAUUUGGCAGCUUGAUGAGGAGAGCAGAAAGAGGACAGAGGGAUAGACACGGGAAGAAGAGAGGAACGCGGAAAGGGGGCGAGAGGGAAACGGAGAGGAGGGAGUCCAGAGGAAAGCUGCCAUUUGGCAGCUUGAUGAGGGGGGAUAAGAAAAAGGUCAGGGAGAGCAGAAAGAGGACAGAGGGAUAGACACGGGAAGAAGAAGCAGAAGGCUGCCCUUGCAGCUGGAGCAAAACCGAAAGAAGGGUGCGCUGCUCUUGGCAGCACCGAGGGCAGAAAAUGGCAGCGCACGGACAAACAGACAGCUCUUCUCUCCUCUCGGUUAAAUCUUUCCAACUUAUGUUUUACUUUCGGUUUAAUUUUUCCAAACUUCUCUUUUAUUUCUGUUUUUAAUAAUGUGUAAUUAAAUUUAUGUUGGUUAGAGGUUAAUUCGAAACCAUGAUUAUAUUUGUAAUAUGAAUUGAUUACCUUCAGUUGUGAUUUAUAAGUUGUGAAUUCAAUUUACUUAUCCGUUCGUAUAAAAA
This 6821-nucleotide long non-coding RNA is filed under the name Malus domestica (apple). RNAcentral's name for it is "long non-coding RNA (MDOM_LNC012692)". Lineage: Eukaryota; Viridiplantae; Streptophyta; Magnoliopsida; Rosales; Rosaceae. The record is from RNAcentral.